GAGCAGGCCUAACACAUGCAAGUCGAACGGAAACAUGUCUAGCUUGCUAGAUGAUGUCGAGUGGCGGACGGGUGAGUAAUACUUAGGAACAUGCCUUUGGGUGGGGGAUAACUAUUGGAAACGAUAGCUAAUACCGCAUAACGUCUACGGACCAAAGGGGGCUUCGGCUCCCGCCCAGAGAGUGGCCUAAGCGAGAUUAGCUUGUUGGUGAGGUAAAGGCUCACCAAGGCGACGAUCUCUAGCUGUUCUGAGAGGAAGAUCAGCCACACUGGAACUGAGACACGGUCCAGACUCCUACGGGAGGCAGCAGUGGGGAAUAUUGCACAAUGGGGGAAACCCUGAUGCAGCCAUGCCGCGUGUGUGAAGAAGGCCUUCGGGUUGUAAAGCACUUUCAGUUGUGAGGAAAGUUUGAUGGUUAAUACCCAUUAGAUGU
This 433-nucleotide ribosomal RNA is filed under the name gamma proteobacterium GA-01. RNAcentral describes it as "bacterial SSU rRNA". It matches the Rfam family "Bacterial small subunit ribosomal RNA", at positions 41 to 475 of the family's 1533-position model. Lineage: Bacteria; Pseudomonadati; Pseudomonadota; Gammaproteobacteria. The record is from RNAcentral.